RNAcentral lists this transfer RNA (88 nucleotides) under Smithella sp. RNAcentral's name for it is "tRNA-Leu". It matches the Rfam family "tRNA". Rfam says of the family: Transfer RNA (tRNA) molecules are approximately 80 nucleotides in length. Their secondary structure includes four short double-helical elements and three loops (D, anti-codon, and T loops). The record is from RNAcentral. Lineage: Bacteria; Pseudomonadati; Thermodesulfobacteriota; Syntrophia; Syntrophales; Smithellaceae.
GCCUGGGUGGCGGAACAGGUAGACGCAAGGGACUUAAAAUCCCUCGGAGCAUAGCUCUGUGCGGGUUCAAUUCCCGCCCCAGGUACCA